This 780-nucleotide ribosomal RNA is filed under the name uncultured bacterium. Its description in RNAcentral is "bacterial SSU rRNA". It matches the Rfam family "Bacterial small subunit ribosomal RNA", at positions 28 to 809 of the family's 1533-position model. The record is from RNAcentral.
GAUGAACGCUGGCGGCGUGCUUAACACAUGCAAGUCGAACGGGAAAUACUUCAUUGAGACUUCGGUGGAUUUGAUUUAUUUCUAGUGGCGGACGGGUGAGUAACGCGUGGGUAACCUGCCUUAUACAGGGGGAUAACAGUCAGAAAUGGCUGCUAAUACCGCAUAAGCGCACAGAGCUGCAUGGCUCAGUGUGAAAAACUCCGGUGGUAUAAGAUGGACCCGCGUUGGAUUAGCUGGUUGGUGGGGUAACGGCCCACCAAGGCGACGAUCCAUAGCCGGCCUGAGAGGGUGAACGGCCACAUUGGGACUGAGACACGGCCCAGACUCCUACGGGAGGCAGCAGUGGGGAAUAUUGCACAAUGGGGGAAACCCUGAUGCAGCGACGCCGCGUGAAGGAAGAAGUAUCUCGGUAUGUAAACUUCUAUCAGCAGGGAAGAUAGUGACGGUACCUGACUAAGAAGCCCCGGCUAACUACGUGCCAGCAGCCGCGGUAAUACGUAGGGGGCAAGCGUUAUCCGGAUUUACUGGGUGUAAAGGGAGCGUAGACGGUGUGGCAAGUCUGAUGUGAAAGGCAUGGGCUCAACCUGUGGACUGCAUUGGAAACUGUCAUACUUGAGUGCCGGAGGGGUAAGCGGAAUUCCUAGUGUAGCGGUGAAACGCGUAGAUAUUAGGAGGAACACCAGUGGCGAAGGCGGCUUACUGGACGGUAACUGACGUUGAGGCUCGAAAGCGUGGGGAGCAAACAAAAUUAGAUACCCUGGUAGUCCACGCCGUAAACGA